RNAcentral lists this ribosomal RNA (253 nucleotides) under uncultured bacterium. RNAcentral describes it as "partial 16S ribosomal RNA". It matches the Rfam family "Bacterial small subunit ribosomal RNA", at positions 524 to 776 of the family's 1533-position model. The record is from RNAcentral.
UACAGAGGGGGCGAGCGUUGUUCGGAAUUACUGGGCGUAAAGGGCGCGUAGGCGGCCUUCUAAGUCGAACGUGAAAUCCCCGGGCUCAACCCGGGAACUGCGUGCGAUACUGGGAGGCUUGAAUCCGGGAGAGGGAUGUGGAAUUCCAGGUGUAGCGGUGAAAUGCGUAGAUAUCUGGAGGAACACCUGUGGCGAAGGCGGCAGCCUGGACCGGUAUUGACGCUGAUGCGCGAAAGCCAGGGGAGCAAACGGG